GGACCCGCACAAGCGGUGGAUGAUGUGGAUUAAUUCGAUGCAACGCGAAAAACCUUACCUACCCUUGACAUGGCAGGAAUCCCGGAGAGAUUUGGGAGUGCUCGAAAGAGAACCUGCACACAGGUGCUGCAUGGCUGUCGUCAGCUCGUGUCGUGAGAUGUUGGGUUAAGUCCCGCAACGAGCGCAACCCUUGUCAUUAGUUGCUACGCAAGAGCACUCUAAUGAGACUGCCGGUGACAAACCGGAGGAAGGUGGGGAUGACGUCAAGUCCUCAUGGCCCUUAUGGGUAGGGCUUCACACGUCAUACAAUGGUACAUACAGAGGGCCGCCAACCCGCGAGGGGGAGCUAAUCCCAGAAAGUGUAUCGUAGUCCGGAUUGUAGUCUGCAACUCGACUACAUGAAGUUGGAAUCGCUAGUAAUCGCGGAUCAGCAUGUCGCGGUGAAUACGUUCCCGGGUCUU
RNAcentral lists this ribosomal RNA (461 nucleotides) under uncultured bacterium. Its description in RNAcentral is "bacterial SSU rRNA". It matches the Rfam family "Bacterial small subunit ribosomal RNA", at positions 917 to 1382 of the family's 1533-position model. The record is from RNAcentral.